RNAcentral lists this ribosomal RNA (253 nucleotides) under uncultured bacterium. RNAcentral's name for it is "partial 16S ribosomal RNA". It matches the Rfam family "Bacterial small subunit ribosomal RNA", at positions 524 to 776 of the family's 1533-position model. The record is from RNAcentral.
UACGGAGGGUGCAAGCGUUAAUCGGAUUUACUGGGCGUAAAGCGUGCGUAGGUGGCCAAUUAAGUCAAAUGUGAAAUCCCCGAGCUUAACUUGGGAAUUGCAUUCGAUACUGGUUGGCUAGAGUAUGGGAGAGGAUGGUAGAAUUCCAGGUGUAGCGGUGAAAUGCGUAGAGAUCUGGAGGAAUACCGAUGGCGAAGGCAGCCAUCUGGCCUAAUACUGACACUGAGGUACGAAAGCAUGGGGAGCAAACAGG